Chelonia mydas (Green sea turtle) is the source of this 182-nucleotide small nuclear RNA. RefSeq annotates it as U2 spliceosomal RNA. The record is from RefSeq and is a predicted model, not a curated record. The transcript has a single exon. Lineage: Eukaryota; Metazoa; Chordata; Testudines; Cheloniidae.
AUUGCUUCUUGACGCUAAGAUCAAAGUGUAGUGUCCUUAUCAGUUUAAUCUUUGAUAUGUUCUCUAUUUGAGAAUGGUGUAUUAAAUUGAUUUUUGAAACAGGGGGAUGGAAUAGGAGCUUGCUCUGUCCACCUCACGCAUCGUCCUGGUAUUGCAGUAUCUCCAGGAAUAGUGCAGUUCCU